Molecule: long non-coding RNA, 890 nt
Filed under: Homo sapiens (human)
Lineage: Eukaryota; Metazoa; Chordata; Mammalia; Primates; Hominidae
Description: non-protein coding lnc-MZF1-1:1
Source: RNAcentral
AGGACAAAUCAGGGUGGUGACCUUGGCCACAUCACUGUCAUAGAGCUUCUUCACAGCCUGUCUGAUCUGGUGCUUGUUGGCUUUAACAUCCACAGUGAACACAAGCGUGUUGUUUUCUUCUAUCUUCUUCACGGCCGACUCAGUGGUCAGCGGAAACUUGAUGAUAGCAUAGUGGCCAAGCUUGUUUCUCCUGGGGGUGCUCUUCCGAGGAUAUCUGGGCUGCCUCCGGAGUCGCAGUGUCUUGGGCCGCCUGAAGAUAUUAUUUCCCCCUGAUGCUUUCCUGAAAGCUCCUGCAAUCAACUACAGGUCAGAAUGUUCGUCUCCAAGACAGGACUCCCCCUGAGACUCACAGAAAAGACUAUGACAGGUACUCUGGUUAUAGGCUUCUGAUGAUAUUGCUUAAAUAACUUUAAGACCAUACACUUGACUCAGUUAAGGUCUCCAGAAGUCCGGUUGGGAAACUGAUGGGUUCAUGACACUGCUAACUCAAGAUCCACAAGACUGGAAUUGAUUACAUGGCACUGAAUGAACUGAUGAAAAUUGAUUAUAAUUGUAUAGCUUUUUGGAGCAUUGCUGGUUAAUAUUCUAGUUUCUGGAUUUAAGAAAUCUCUUUCUCUUACUCUAACUGUAACUUACAACAAUUUAGUAGAUUAUACUUUUGUAAACAGAAAUGAAGCGUUUAUCUUUUUUUCUUGCCUGAUUUUUCCAGAAUUUUGAAAUCCUUACUGAAUACUCUUAUUUCCACGAUGAUAUUGUUGUUAGCAAAAGUCCAAUAAGAAUCUAUUCAUCUUAUAACAGGACAUAAUUGGAAAUUUUGGUUAUAUUAUCAAGGUUUUUACUGGAAUAUCAUAUUUAGGGAGUGUACCUAAGAUCAGUUAUGACCAGCAAUU